GACGAAGGAUGCAAUCGUUAUCCGGAUUCAUUGGGCUUAAAGGGAGCGUAGGCGGCCCUGUAAGUCAGUGGUGAAAUCUUUGGGCUUAACCCAAAAAUUGCCAUUGAUACUGCAGGGCUUGAGUACAGUUGCCGUUGGCGGAAUAUGACAUGUAGUGGUGAAAUACAUAGAGAUGUCAUAGAACACCGAUUGCGAAGGCAGCUAACGAAACUGUAACUGACGCUGAGGCUCGAAAGUGCGGGGAUCAAACAGG
This 253-nucleotide ribosomal RNA is filed under the name uncultured bacterium. Its description in RNAcentral is "partial 16S ribosomal RNA". It matches the Rfam family "Bacterial small subunit ribosomal RNA", at positions 524 to 776 of the family's 1533-position model. The record is from RNAcentral.